AAGGCCGACGAAUUGAGGGAAAUACACAGAAACCCCCCGCCCCAUAAUCUGUAGAGAAAAAAGAGAGAAAUGGGCGGAGCUUGCUUACUCUUUUGGCGCCUCCUUCUCUUUCUCUAAGUCUCACUUUCCAUCUGUUCUUUCUUCUCCACAUACAGUCAUUCGUUGGCCUGUGCUGCCUCGUCGACUACUACUACUGCCUUCAAAAAUUCUUUUAUUCGUCGCC
Caenorhabditis elegans is the source of this 223-nucleotide non-coding RNA. The record is from Ensembl. NCBI's taxonomy places the organism in Eukaryota, Metazoa, Nematoda, Chromadorea, Rhabditida, Rhabditidae.